RNAcentral lists this long non-coding RNA (452 nucleotides) under Brassica napus (rape). RNAcentral's name for it is "long non-coding RNA (BNAP_LNC012913)". The record is from RNAcentral. Lineage: Eukaryota; Viridiplantae; Streptophyta; Magnoliopsida; Brassicales; Brassicaceae.
UGUUCAAGGCAUUCACUAAACAAAAAACUGAACACACUUUUUGUUUGCAAGGAACAAUAUGAGUAGUCCUGGUCAAUAUGCCAAAGCCAUCGGCGUUGUCAUCAUCGCCAUCGCGUUGGCUGUUUUAGCAUGCUUCUACCAAAACAUUCUAAAGCGUCUAGGAAAAAAGACGACGUCGAAUGGUAAUGUGGCCACAACUUCGCAGGUUUAAGGUAAUAUAUUAGGUUUCUUUUGAUGAAGGCUAAUACGUAUCAAAUAUAAUAUCUCUAUUAAUUAAUUAAUCACACCUUUUUUUUUUUCUUUUUUAGGGUUCAGAGUUACCGAGACGAUGAGUUUGAAGAUACAAAAGAAGUCUAGCAUAUGAUCUGUUGAUUAUUUCUUGCGUGCUUCUUCUUUUUAGCGUUUUAAAUAGUUCUCUGUUUUAUGAUGUGUUUUAUAAAAUAAUAUAUUGG